GAUGAAGAACGUAGCGAAAUGCGAUAAGUAGUGUGAAUUGCAGAAUUCAGUGAAUCAUCGAAUCUUUGAACGCACAUUGCGCCCCUUGGUACUCCAUGGGGCAUGCCUGUUCGAGCGUCAUUUACACCCUCAAGCUCAGCUUGGUGUUGGGCGUCUGUCCCGCUUCGUGCGCGGACUCGCCUCAAAUGCAUUGGCAGCGGUCUUGCCAGCUUCUCGCGCAGCACAUUGCGCUUCUAGAGGCUUUGGCGGAUCGGCGUCCAUCAAGUACACCCACAGUUUGACCUCGGAUCAGGUAGGGAUACCCGCUGAACUUAAGCAUAUCAAAAGCGGAGGA
Molecule: unclassified non-coding RNA, 334 nt
Filed under: soil metagenome
Description: partial contains 5.8S ribosomal RNA, internal transcribed spacer 2, and large subunit ribosomal RNA
Rfam family: 5.8S ribosomal RNA (bases 1-120)
Source: RNAcentral